GUUUUAAUAAUUUAACAAAAAUAUUGGCCUUGUAAACCAAAAAUAAGAAGUCACCUUUUAAAACA
RNAcentral lists this transfer RNA (65 nucleotides) under Cryptocercus kyebangensis. Its description in RNAcentral is "tRNA-Thr". It matches the Rfam family "tRNA". Rfam says of the family: Transfer RNA (tRNA) molecules are approximately 80 nucleotides in length. Their secondary structure includes four short double-helical elements and three loops (D, anti-codon, and T loops). RNAcentral also lists the same sequence under 1 other name. The record is from RNAcentral. Lineage: Eukaryota; Metazoa; Arthropoda; Insecta; Blattodea; Cryptocercidae.